This is a small nuclear RNA of Otolemur garnettii (small-eared galago), 103 nucleotides long. The record is from Ensembl. NCBI's taxonomy places the organism in Eukaryota, Metazoa, Chordata, Mammalia, Primates, Galagidae.
GUGCUCACUUCAGCAGCACAUAUACUAAAAUUGGAACGAUGAGAAGAUUAGCAGGGCCCCUGCACAGGGUGACACGCAAAGUUGUGAAGUGUUCAAAAAGAAA